ACUCCUCGGAACCCUCGGAGGUUGCGCAUAAACAAUUUUUUCUUCCAGAACGGCCCCCCUCUCCGCCCUGGGGGAGCCGGGAGGAUGUGCAGCCCCAGUCCUCCUGCUCGGCGGAGCCUCGCGCGCGCAGAGCCUAGCGCGAUUCGCGCCCUCAUUACUACUACAAAGCGCGGGCCAGACCAAUCCCCUUUCUAAUGCACCAUUUUCGACUGAGAACAUCAAGAGGCCAGAAACUUCCAAGUCAGCUUGCAGACGCAGACGCCUCCUGGGGUCCUGGCUUUAAGAACCAGAUGCCAACACUCCCGGACAGUUUAUGGCAUCCGGAUCCCUCAAGGGUGCUCAUCUGCAGUUGAGAGUGAUUCUGUGUGAAGAAUACAGAGACAGACGUUCCAUUUCAAAGAAAAAAGAGCAACACGAAGGCCCUCUUUAAGGAGAGAGUAAACAUUCACUUUAGGUAAAAAAUAGUCUUUUACACGCCUGUGCACGGCACACCUCUUUUGCUGUUCACCUUGAGCCCAAGAGUUUGGAAAGGCUGCCCCCAUUUCAGAGAGGAAGAAACGCAGGCACACGUGAAUGACAGACUCCUCUGUGGUGGCCUAGACUCCAGCCAACACUUCCUAGGACAGCCUGCCAUUGUGCAAAGUCACCAUGUAACAAAUGCAGACAUCUCUGAGAUCACCAUGCAGUGAGGAAGUCUAAGCUGGUGGCAUGAAGAGGCCACAUGGAAAGGGCUAAAAAAGGGGCCAGCCUCAGUCAUCCCAGCUGAGCACCUGGCUGGGAAUAAAAGAGGACUCCGUGGAUGUUUACUCCAGGAGCUUCAGUGGUGCAUGCUGAAUGUGCUGUUUCUUGGGCUGGGGGACAGAGAUGUGCAUGCUGUUAUACACUCUAUAUUGAAAUGAUUGUAUAACAAUAUACUAAUUUAUCAUGUAAUAAAUUUGACCAGAAAGAAACAA
RNAcentral lists this long non-coding RNA (953 nucleotides) under Homo sapiens (human). Its description in RNAcentral is "ID2 antisense RNA 1". Lineage: Eukaryota; Metazoa; Chordata; Mammalia; Primates; Hominidae. The record is from RNAcentral.